CGACGAGUUCUCGUUGAUGAUCGGUGCUUGCACCGAGAUUCAACAUGGAACGAGUGGCGGACGGGUGAGUAACACGUGGGUAACCUGCCCUUAAGUGGGGGAUAACAUUUGGAAACAGAUGCUAAUACCGCAUAGAUCCAAGAACCGCAUGGUUCUUGGCUGAAAGAUGGCGUAAGCUAUCGCUUUUGGAUGGACCCGCGGCGUAUUAGCUAGUUGGUGAGGUAAUGGCUCACCAAGGCGAUGAUACGUAGCCGAACUGAGAGGUUGAUCGGCCACAUUGGGACUGAGACACGGCCCAAACUCCUACGGGAGGCAGCAGUAGGGAAUCUUCCACAAUGGACGCAAGUCUGAUGGAGCAACGCCGCGUGAGUGAAGAAGGCUUUCGGGUCGUAAAACUCUGUUGUUGGAGAAGAAUGGUCGGCAGAGUAACUGUUGCCGGCGUGACGGUAUCCAACCAGAAAGCCACGGCUAACUACGUGCCAGCAGCCGCGGUAAUACGUAGGUGGCAAGCGUUAUCCGGAUUUAUUGGGCGUAAAGCGAGCGCAGGCGGUUUUUUAAGUCUGAUGUGAAAGCCCUCGGCUUAACCGAGGAAGCGCAUCGGAAACUGGGAAACUUGAGUGCAGAAGAGGACAGUGGAACUCCAUGUGUAGCGGUGAAAUGCGUAGAUAUAUGGAAGAACACCAGUGGCGAAGGCGGCUGUCUGGUCUGUAACUGACGCUGAGGCUCGAAAGCAUGGGUAGCGAACAGGAUUAGAUACCCUGGUAGUCCAUGCCGUAAACGAUGAAUGCUAGGUGUUGGAGGGUUUCCGCCCUUCAGUGCCGCAGCUAACGCAUUAAGCAUUCCGCCUGGGGAGUACGACCGCAAGGUU
This 868-nucleotide ribosomal RNA is filed under the name uncultured bacterium. Its description in RNAcentral is "bacterial SSU rRNA". It matches the Rfam family "Bacterial small subunit ribosomal RNA", at positions 64 to 895 of the family's 1533-position model. The record is from RNAcentral.